This 60-nucleotide transfer RNA is filed under the name Eurytemora affinis. RNAcentral describes it as "tRNA-Gln". The record is from RNAcentral. Lineage: Eukaryota; Metazoa; Arthropoda; Copepoda; Calanoida; Temoridae.
UGAAAACAGGUGUCAAGCAUGUAAACUUUUGAGGUUUAAGGGCUCAAUUAAAUUUUGAGG